UCAGCGACUUAUAUUCUGUAGCAAGGUUAACCGUAUAGGGGAGCCGAAGGGAAACCGAGUCUUAACUGGGCGUUAAGUUGCAGGGUAUAGACCCGAAACCCGGUGAUCUAGCCAUGGGCAGGUUGAAGGUUGGGUAACACUAACUGGAGGACCGAACCGACUAAUGUUGAAAAAUUAGCGGAUGACCUGUGGCUGGGGGUGAAAGGCCAAUCAAACCGGGAGAUAGCUGGUUCUCCCCGAAAGCUAUUUAGGUAGCGCCUCGUGAACUCAUCUUCGGGGGUAGAGCACUGUUUCGGCUAGGGGGCCAUCCCGGCUUACCAACCCGAUGCAAACUACGAAUACCGAAGAAUGUUAUCACGGGAGACACACGGCGGGUGCUAACGUCCGUCGUGAAGAGGGAAACAACCCAGACCGCCAGCUAAGGUCCCAAAGUCAUGGUUAAGUGGGAAACGAUGUGGGAAGGCACAGACAGCCAGGAUGUUGGCUUAGAAGCAGCCAUCAUUUAAAGAAAGCGUAAUAGCUCACUGGUCGAGUCGGCCUGCGCGGAAGAUGUAACGGGGCUAAACCAUGCACCGAAGCUGCGGCAGCGACGCUUAUGCGUUGUUGGGUAGGGGAGCGUUCUGUAAGCCGUUGAAGGUGGCCUGUGAGGGUUGCUGGAGGUAUCAGAAGUGCGAAUGCUGACAUAAGUAACGAUAAAGCGGGUGAAAAGCCCGCUCGCCGGAAGACCAAGGGUUCCUGUCCAACGUUAAUCGGGGCAGGGUGAGUCGACCCCUAAGGCGAGGCCGAAAGGCGUAGUCGAUGGGAAACAGGUUAAUAUUCCUGUACUUGGUGUUACUGCGAAGGGGGGACGGAGAAGGCUAUGUUAGCCGGGCGACGGUUGUCCCGGUUUAAGCAUGUAGGCGGAGGUUCCAGGUAAAUCCGGUACCUU
This 928-nucleotide ribosomal RNA is filed under the name Enterobacter kobei. Its description in RNAcentral is "partial 23S ribosomal RNA". It matches the Rfam family "Bacterial large subunit ribosomal RNA", at positions 620 to 1551 of the family's 2925-position model. Lineage: Bacteria; Pseudomonadati; Pseudomonadota; Gammaproteobacteria; Enterobacterales; Enterobacteriaceae. The record is from RNAcentral.